UCCAGACUCCUACGGGAGGCAGCAGUGGGGGAUAUUGCACAAUGGGGGGAACCCUGAUGCAGCGACGCCGCGUGGGUGAAGGAGCGUUUCGGCGCGUAAAGCCCUGUCAGCAGGGAAGAAAAUGACGGUACCUGAAGAAGAAGCCCCGGCUAACUACGUGCCAGCAGCCGCGGUAAUACGUAGGGGGCAAGCGUUAUCCGGAUUUACUGGGUGUAAAGGGGGCGCAGACGGCGAUGCAAGCCAGGAGUGAAAGCCCGGGGCCCAACCCCGGGACUGCUCUUGGAACUGCGUGGCUGGAGUGCAGGAGGGGCAGGCGGAAUUCCUGGUGUAGCGGUGAAAUGCGUAGAUAUCAGGAGGAACACCGGUGGCGAAGGCGGCCUGCUGGACUGCAACUGACGUUGAGGCCCGAAAGCGUGGGGAGCAAACAGGAUUAGAUACCCCUGUA
RNAcentral lists this ribosomal RNA (445 nucleotides) under uncultured bacterium. Its description in RNAcentral is "bacterial SSU rRNA". It matches the Rfam family "Bacterial small subunit ribosomal RNA", at positions 330 to 792 of the family's 1533-position model. The record is from RNAcentral.